Molecule: long non-coding RNA, 1631 nt
Filed under: Ovis aries (sheep)
Lineage: Eukaryota; Metazoa; Chordata; Mammalia; Artiodactyla; Bovidae
Description: lncRNA (ENSOARG00000026393.1)
Source: RNAcentral
AUGCCACUGAUGUCUCUGAUGCCAUCCAACCAUCUCAUCCCCUGUCGUGAGCUGGCUCAAGAAGACCUGGGAUGUAAUUACAUAAGAAUCGACAGGAGGGAGAGAGGUUCCGGAAGAAGCCACAGAAGGGCAAACAGCAGAAAGAAAGGAUGCUCUUUUAGGCGCUGGGUACCAGAGACAGCAGAGAGCGCCCAGCAUGCCCAGUGGAAACCACCAAGGUCUCUGAUUCCAUCAAAGAUGGCAGACCUCAAGACUAUACCAUCCGCCUCCAGGAAUCAGGAGAAUCAGGAUGGUGGAGUUCAAGGAUAUUCGCUCAUCUCCUGCGUGAACACCAAAAUCGCAACUAGCUGCGGAACAACUCCUGACAGGAGGGUGUUGGAACACACCGAGAAAAGAGACCCCAUGUCAAGGACAAAGGAAAAGCCGCAGUGAGAUGGUAGGAGGGGUGCAAUCGCAUUAAAAUCAAACCCCGUACCCGCCAGAGAUUCUCGGAGGGCACAACAAGACCUCAUGUGCACCAGGACCAAGGGAAAGGAGAAGUGAUCCCCCCAAAAAAGAGACAGAGUCAGACCUGCCUGUGAGUGUUUGACGGUCUCCUGCGGAGGCAUGGGUCAGCAAUGGUCCGCCGUGGGGACAGGGGCAUUGGCAGCAGCAACUGCUAUUAGAAGACAUUAUAGCGCCUAGGGCUUGGGUUUGGGAGAUGGAUGGAUCUGGAUUUGAGAUCCACUUGCUUGGAAACUGCCCGGCUGUGUUCCUCUGAAUAAACAUCUUAACCUCUCCGUGCUCCAGUUUCCCACUGUAAUGAGGAUGAUAAAAAUCUCACCCAUUCUAUGUAGAGGUUCUGCCAGUCAGCACUCAAUGUGCCCAUUAUUAAGGGCUAGUUCUUGCUUCUCUUUUAAAAAUACAUUUUUCCCCCUUGCCUUUCCCCAUGACACAAUGAGGAAGCAAUGCCCAAAGGGUAUCCUGUCUUAGAUUCCAAGCUAAUUCACUGAAAUCAAGUUUGUUUGUUUGUUUAAAAGAGGGAAGAGCAGUUUCUGUUCACCCACCAGCAUCCUCGUCACUCCCCAUGGUCACUCCCACUGCUGAUGGGAAAGAGAGGCCGCCGGAAGGAAGGGAAAGCUCAUCAAGGGCUGGAAAAUAUUAAUCUGGGAGCUCACGGAUGGGCAGUGAUGUGCAGCCCCGACAGUGGGCACCGCCUUCACUUUCAGGCUGCCUGUGGGCUGAGCCGGCCCGCCGGCCCGCCCUGGCGCUGGGGGCACUCGGCAUGACACGCCAGGUGUCCCCAGUUCGACGUCCACUUCCAGACUGAUCUCCAAGACAGGGCUGGGGAAGCGGGCAGAGAGACAGAGCGUGGACUAGCGGACAAGAGAGCUCUGACUCCACCAAAAACCCUUUGAAAAGGCCGCAUUUUCGCCCCUUCAAGGAUGGUUUUCAACCAUGACUGUAAAUUAAAAUCACAGAGGAAGCUUUAAAAAAUAAUGCUGAGGCACUGCCCCCAUGGGUUACAAGUCAGUUUUUCUAGGAGUGAACCUUGAAUGUGGGUAUUCUUUAAACUUUCUAAUAAGACUAAAUUUAUUCAAUAUCCUAGUAAAAUUUUGAUUAUAAGUAUCCAAAAGUAUGUGAAAAGCAAG